This 255-nucleotide ribosomal RNA is filed under the name uncultured bacterium. RNAcentral describes it as "partial 16S ribosomal RNA". It matches the Rfam family "Bacterial small subunit ribosomal RNA", at positions 524 to 776 of the family's 1533-position model. The record is from RNAcentral.
UACGUAGGCAGCAAGCGUUGUUCGGAAUUACUGGGCGUAAAGAGUGUGUAGGCGGUGCUCCAAGUCUGGUGUGAAAUCUCCCGGCUUAACUGGGAGGGUGCAUUAGAAACUGGAAUGCUAGAGGAUGGGAGAGGUAAGCGGAAUUCCUGGUGUAGCGGUGAAAUGCGUAGAUAUCAGGAGGAACACCUGUGGUGUAGACAGCUUACUGGACCAUUUCUGACGCUGAGACAUAACGAAGCGUGGGUAGCAAACAGG